Oryctolagus cuniculus (rabbit) is the source of this 570-nucleotide non-coding RNA. The record is from RefSeq and is a predicted model, not a curated record. Lineage: Eukaryota; Metazoa; Chordata; Mammalia; Lagomorpha; Leporidae.
AGUCACCGUGCACCUGCUCCCCAUUUAGGAACUCUGUCCUUACUCUGUUGUACUAUGUGAAUUAAUGGUAAAACUACUACUCAAACGUUGAUCCUGUCUUGCAGAGCCACAUACAAUUUCCAGGAAGGAAAAGUCAUGCUGUGUACUAUAUUAGGCAGAAUGUCACCAACAGAAUUUCAAGUAACUGAUCUCACCGUGUAAGCCUAAUAUUCUGGAUUUUGCAUGCCCGUAGUAGCUACUUUGAUCUUGGCUGAAAGAAAAAUCACCUUGAUCUUAGACUUCUCCAUGCUAGGCCAUAGCUGUGUAGUUGUAGCCCCCAGGGCAUGCUUUGCACUAUCGUAACCAUAGUUACCUGUUGGUCACUUGAGAAUAAUUUUUUUAACUUCUGCUUCCUAUCCAUUUGUGCAAAAUAGAAACUGUAUUUGUAAGCCAAAUCCCUGAAGUUUUCUUGAGAAUCUCAUUUCCUGGAGACUGUCCUCGGGCCCUUUUAUUUUUGACCUCUAACAUUUCUAGGACCUGUGAAGAAUUUCUUAGGCAGAUUAGUUUCUAUUAACGUGGAUAAUUGAGAGU